Molecule: ribosomal RNA, 756 nt
Filed under: uncultured bacterium
Lineage: Bacteria
Description: bacterial SSU rRNA
Rfam family: Bacterial small subunit ribosomal RNA
Source: RNAcentral
UUGAGCGGAGAUAUAUGGAGCUUGCUUUAUAUAACUUAGCAGCGAACGGGUGAGUAACACGUAGAUAAUCUAUCCUAUACUGGGGGAUAGCCCGAUGAAAGUUGGAUUAAUACCGCAUAUAGCUAUAUAGUUGCAUGAUUAUGUAGUGAAAGAUUUAUUGGUAUAGGAGGAGUCUGCGGCACAUUAGCUAGUAGGUGAGGUAAAGGCUUACCUAGGCGACGAUGUGUAGCCGGUCUGAGAGGAUGAACGGCCACAAUGGAACUGAGACACGGUCCAUACUCCUACGGGAGGCAGCAGUGGGGAAUAUUGCACAAUGGGGGAAACCCUGAUGCAGCAACGCCGCGCGAGUGAAGAAGGUUUUCGGAUUGUAAAGCUCUGUUAGCAGGGAAGAGGAAGGACGGUACCUGCAGAGGAAGCCACGGCUAACUACGUGCCAGCAGCCGCGGUAAUACGUAGGUGGCAAGCGUUGUUCGGAAUAACUGGGCGUAAAGGAUGCGUAGGCGGUUAAACAAGUUAUAUGUUAAAUAUAUAGGCUUAACCUGUAGAAAGCAUAUAAAACUGUUUAACUAGAGUGCAGGAGAGGUAAGUGGAAUUCCUAGUGUAGCGGUGAAAUGCGUAGAGAUUAGGAAGAACACCAGUGGCGAAGGCGACUUACUGGACUGUAACUGACGCUGAGGCAUGAGAGCAUGGGGAGCAAACAGGAUUAGAUACCCUGGUAGUCCAUGCUGUAAACGAUGGGUACUAGGUGUGGGUUGU